CAAAGGUGGAGUCUUGCUUUGUGAUGUCAGCAGAUUGAUUGACAUCUUGGCAAGUCACACCCAUUUCAGGUACUAUGUGGGAUCACAGAGUGAGGGGAGAGGCACACUUAUAUCACACAGACCAAUCAGCGUGCAAUGCCAGACCUGUUCCCUUAUAGCUCCAAUAUGCAUAGUUCAUACACACAGCCUAUGGGUGGCUUGUGACAGCUGGGGAUGUGACUCUGGUUAAACAUCCUUGGGUUUAAUCCCUGGUACAAAAAAAAAAAAAGAAAAGAAAAGCGGGGGGAUGGACAUUAAAAUGGGCGUAGGCAUUGGAGGGCUGGGAAGUGGGUUUGGCUAGGACAGAGAUCCAAAGAGGGCAGUCCCCAGUCAGCUAGGGGGAAGCUGUGUAGCUGCAAAGUCCAGGAAACAGAGUGGAUAUUCUGCCCAGAAACUGCCUCUAAGGCAGGUACCAAGAGGAGCAAGGGACAGGGCUUCAAGCAGUGGGACCCAGCCAGGUUCCUGUGUGAGCCUUUUAGGAAUGGUGAGUUUCAGCUCAUCUGAGCUCAAGGAUAGCUCAAAGGAAUUUGAGGAGUUCUUAGGCAUUACGACUGGAAGAAAAACAGCAUGCAAAAGAUGAAUAUGUAUAACUGGCCCCAGACUUGCUCUGUUUCCCCUUAAUCUUUCUAGAGUCAUUCUGUAAUAUAUAAGUAGAUACAUCUGUAUAUUCUUUUUAAAAAAUUUUUAGUUGUAGAUGGACACAAUACUUUUAUUCAUUUAUUUUUAUGUGGUACUGAGGAUCAAACUCGGUGCCUCACACAUGAUUGAACCCAGCCACACUUUACCACUGAGCUACAUUUCAAUCUUUAUUAUUUAUUUCUCACUAAAUUGCUGAGGCUGGCUUCAAAUGUAUGAUCUUCCUUCUCAGCUGACUCCUUCCCGAGUGACUGGGAUUACAGGUAUGUGCCAUCAUGCCUAACUCCAAUUUUUUCUUUCACACAGACAACAAAGAUUACUUGCUCUUCUGCACUUUCCUUUAUCCCUCCCCCCAUCUUUCUGACCCCUACCCUCAGUACUGGCAACUGAACCUAGGGGCUCUCUACCACUAAGUUACAUCCCUAGCCCAUUUAGUUUUUGAGAAAGGGUCUCACUAGGGCUGGGGUUGUGGCUCAGCGGUAGAGUAUUACCUAGCACGGUGAGGACCUGGAUUUGAUCCUCAGCACCACAUAAAAAUAAAUAAAAUUAAUUAAAGAUAUUGUAUCCAUGGGGCUGGGGAUGUGGCUCAAGUGGUAGCGCGCUCGCCUGGCAUGCGUGCGGCCCGGGUUCGAUCCUCAGCACCACAUACAAAGAUGUUGUAUCCACCGAAAAACUAAAAAAUAAACAUUAAAAAAACUCUCUCUCUCUCCCCCCCCCCCUUUUAAAAAAAGAUAUUGUAUCCAACUACAACUAAAAUAUAAAAAGAAAGGGUCUCACUAAGUUGCCUGGGAUGGCCUCAAACUUACUUGCAAUCCUGUCUCGGCCUCCUAAGUAGCUCCCCCAAUCUAUUUUACGGGUUGUUAUGGAUCAACAUACUAAGUAUCUGUUCCUUUAAAUUGGUAAAGUGCUGAGUCAAAGGUGCUGGACAUUUGCAAUUUUGAGAGCUGUUUGGUCAAAUUGCCCUCCGUAGAUAUGACCUCAAUGUCUACUUUCACCAGCAAUAUAUAAGAAAAUAUGCUAUUCCAAAUCCUCUUUUAUGGCUGAACAAUAUUCUACUAUUCAGCAGAAGCAGUUUAUACUAGCCCAUCUGCCACUGAGGAUAUAGAGACAUGCCAAACUUUUAUAUAUGGAUAAUCCUCAGAAAAUGUAAUAAAGGCCAGAGGGACAGAGCCUACACUCCAGCAGUAUGGGCUGGCUCUGGCCCAGCCCUUGCCCUGACUGAUUCUAGUCCAACAGCAGCCAUAGUUGUUGAUAAUGUUUCUUUCCUAAAGACAUACACACAUGUGGGGUUGGGGUAUAGUUCAGUGGUAGAGUGUGUGCUUAGCAUGCAGAAGACCUGGGAUUCAAUCCCCAGCAUGCAUGUGUGCAUGUGUGUGUGCAUGCACACACACAUACACACACACAAAGAAUUUUUGAAAUUAAAGAUAUGUAGCAGGGGCUGGGAAUGUGGCUCAAGCCGUAAUGCUCUCGCCUAGUAUGCGCGGGGCGCUGGGUUCGAUCCUCAGCACCACAUAAAAAUAAAGACGUUGUGUCCACUGUAAACUGGAGAAAAAAAAAAAAAAAGACAUGUAGUUGGGCAUGGUGGCACACUCCUGUAAUCCCAGCUACUCAGGAGGCUUAGGCAGGAAGAGAACAGGUUCAAGGCCAACCUGAACAACUCAGCAAGAUCCUGUCUCAAAUUAAAAAAAAAAAAGAUUGAGGCUGCUGCUGGGUAGUAGAGCACUUGCCUGGAAUGUGCAAGACCCUGGUUUUAAUCCCUAACACUGCAAAAAAUAAUAAAUAGAUUAAGAAAUUAAUAAGCAAAUAACAGAUGCAUGGUUAAACAAAACAAGAACAAAAUACCUUACCCUGCUACAUUGCUCCUCCUUGACCCCUCCAUCCCAAUUCUCCUUCAUCUCAGGCCCCUACCCAGAACCUAAAGCACAAACUGGACUGGACUGGCACAUUCUGAGUUCCCCAGAAUUUGCCUUCCUUCCUCCUUGACUGCCCACACUGUUCCCUCUCCAGAAUUGCCUUCUCCUCUCCUCUGAUGAACUCCUACAGGCCUGUCUGUCCUCAGUUCCUGCCACCUCCCUCCAUGAGGAUUGGAAGUAGGACUGACUAUCCCAGAGCUUGGAAAAAGAACAAAAUAGGCAACAAAUUCAGCAACUCAAGGAGGAUUAAAGCUGGCCUGAAGAGACUGGCGGAACUGAAACUGGCCUGGAACACCUAGUUGGAAAGCUCCAGAUAAUCUGGUGAGUGCUAGGGAUACAGUGGUCAGAUCUAUAUAGACCUGGGCUGGGAAGAGGCUGGGCUGCAAUUGCCAGGAUGAGGCAAGGAGUCAAGGAUUGGGGUGGGAGAUGAGGCUUUGUCCAGUCUCCCCAACCUAGGGAAUCUUCCAAUCUACACUUCCGAUGAAAAAAUAACCAUGCUGCUGGGGACAUCAUUCAACAUAGAUCAGAUGAUGGUCAUGCUGUACCAGCCUCUCAAUGUUUACUGGGAUUAGUUAUUUAAAAUGAUGUCUCCCCAACAGGAAAUCCACCUCAGCCUUUAGGAAAAAGGCCAGAAUCUUGUUUCCCACCAGAACAAAGUUCAGCGAGGGACCUUGUAGACAUCAGACUGGCCUCCAGGGGGCAAUAGUGUCAACCCCAACAUUAGCUAUUGAAGUUCCUUAUUUUCUUAGCUAAAAAAGGACCUUCAGCCAGCACUGAAAAUCACACCAUGGAAAACACACAGCCACAAAAGCCCUAUGGGAUGGAGAAUGCCUGUAAUCCCAGAAACUGUAAAGGCUGAGGCAGGAGGAUGGCAAGUUCAAGGCCAGUCUUAGCAGCUUAGUGAGACCCUCAAAACUUAGCAAGACACUGUCUCAAAAAAGUUCUAAGGAUAAAUUCCCAUUAAUUUGGUCCUCAGUACCACAAAAAUGAAAUAAAAAUUAAAAAAGGACCUGCAUACCUCUUCUUGGAAACCCUAGGGUGAUAGAAGUAGGGAACGGGAAACUGACAGAAGGGAGUAAAGGUAAAGAAGUCCAGGACAAGCUUGCUGCAUGGUGGGGUGCUCUAGGACUGGAGGUGCCUAGGGAUUCAUCUUUCCCAAACUAUAUGCUGAUUCCUGUUACUGCUUCUCCAAUCUCAACCCCCACCCUAUUUUGGGGGUGUCUGCUGGAUCUGGAGUCUCUCAACUACCCCAGGUCACCUCACCACAUUUGGUACUGUAAAGGCUGCUAGAAUGCUGUUGCCUUUCUAAAAUGAAUCUUGGGGCAAGAUCAGGACAACAGGCUGCCCAAGGCUUAGAGCCUUCCUGGGUCCUCCUGGGCUCUCUAGUCCACAUGCACCAACCCCAAACUGGAGGACCCUUUAUGAGGCACUUUUCCUAGACUGCUUUUUUCUAUGAAGAUCUUGCAUCUUCUGCCCUUUGGGACAGCAAGAACCUUGAGCCCAGACCCCAGGGCCAAGAGUGUCAUGAUAAAAUUGCCCUAUAUCAGGGACUGUACUUGUACCAUGUCAGAAUGUCUCUUGAGGUUAUCAGCCUCCUCAGGCCCCCACUGUCUUGGCCCCACAGUUUAAUCACUGGCACCCCAAACUCAGCAGCCUGCACCCCACUUCCUGAGUACCCCCUAUGUUCCCUGCCUGGCUCUGCACCUGUGAGGAUGUCCUGACAGCAGUCCCAGAGGGAGGACACUACAAUUAUACCAUGUGUCCUAGGGAAGCUGGGGCAGAGGGGUUCACUGACUGCCAGUAUCACAGAGAGGAACCUGAAUUCUGCACUGGAGACCAUGCAGCCUUGGCAGGCCUCUACCCUACUACUCCCACACCUCCACAUUUUAGUCCAGCACAGCAGAACAAGCCUGACAGGGUUCAAGUCUUGGCUCUGCCAUGUUCCAGCUUUGUGGCCUUGGGGAGUCCCCAAGUUUUAGGGCUGGGAUGUGGCUCAGUAGUAGAGCACUUGCUUAGCAUGUAUAAGAACCUAAGUUCAAUCCCCAGCAUUGCCAAAACAACAAUAACAACAACAACAAAAAGGAACCUUAGUUUCCCCAUCUAUAAAAUGGAGAUGAUACAAAGAGAGCCUUCCUCUUGGGUUAUUGUGAAGGUUAAAAGAAUAAAUGCAUGUGUGGGCUGUGGCUGUGGCGCAGAGGUAGAGCGCUUGUCUUGCACAUGCGAGACCCUGGGUUCGAUACUCAGCACCACAUAAAAAUAAAUAAAGAUGUUGUGUCCACGGAAAACUAAAAAAGUAAAAAUAUUUUAAAAAAUCUAUCUUAAAAAAAUUUAAAGGGGCUGGGGAUGUAGUUCAAGUGGUAGCGCGCUUGCCUGGCAUGCGCAGAGCGCUGGGUUUGAUCCUCAGCAUCACAUAAAAAUAAAAUAAAGAUGUUGUAUCCACCGAAAACUAAAAAAAUAAAUAUUAAAAAAAAUUCUCUUCUCUCUAAAAAAAUAAAAAAUAAAAUAUAAAUAAAUAUUUUUUUAAAAAAGAAUAAAUGCAUGUGAAGUCAUAGCCAUGGUUAUUUAUGUGGUACGCUGUCUUUCUGGCUAGGGUUAGGGUGGUAUGGGGGUAGGGCAACAAGAUUGGCUAGUUGAAGGCCAAGGGCACCAGGCCCAAGCAGCCCAGUAAUAGGACCCCUCCUAUGGCACUGAAAAUCACACCAUGGAAAACACACAGCCACAAAAGAUUGGCCUGAGCCUAGUUACAUGGGCCCCACAUCACCUGCCCUGAAUGUGACCCAUGUAGGCCCUGGUUCUGCCACCAGGCAAGAUUCAGCAACCCUCCCCUGCAGCCACCUUCCCAUCUGUAAAAUGGGUUGGGAGGAACUGGAGGGCCAUGCUUGCCUCACAACAGAAUUGGUGGAUCCUGAUGUGUUCAGUGAUGGAUGUGACCUCACUUCCUUGGAAUGUAAGUUAUACAUUAAUGCAUUCCAAUGGUAACUAUGGCUGAGCAGGGUGGUCACAAGAUUCCUGAGAGUUCAAAGCCAGCCUCAGCAAUGGGGAGGCACUAAGCAACUCAGUGAGACCCUGUCUCUACAUGACAUACAAAAUAGUGCUGGGGAUGUGGCUCAGUGGUUGAGUGUCCCUGAGUUCAAUCCCUAUUACUUAAAAAAAAAAAAAAAGUAGCUAUGGUUCCAGUGUGCUGAGGGGACAAGUUUUACCUGACCACUUUACAGGGAUGGAUUAGAAGAGAUGGACAUAAUCAGAACAAUCCUAGCACCCAGGUGCUAGGAGCCAGAACAAGGUGGUCUGAUCAGGUCUAAAGAAGCUGGUCAGGGAGCACUUCCUGGAGGAGGGAGCACAAGGUGCACCAUGAUUUAUGGAGAACCAGGAAGUUCUGAAAUAAUGACAGGUGGAAAAAGACAAUGUAAUAAAAUAGCAUUUAAGACAGACUUGAGGUUGGGGUUGUGGCUCAGCGGUAGAGCGCACGCCUCACACGUGUGAGACUCUGGGUUCGAUCCUCACUCAGCACCACAUAAAAAUAAAUAAGUGAAAUAAAGAUAUUGUGUCCAAAUACAACUAAAAAAAAAAAAAACAACAUAAAUAUUUAAAAAAAAAAAAAAAAGACCUGGUAUGUGAUGUGUGGUGACGGGGUUGGAGGGAGUGAAGGGAACUGAGACUAAACUCCUCAAGCAGGUAAAGGUCUCCGAGCGAGCGGCUGAAAGCAUGAAUUGGGUUUUCUUUCUUGGGGAGGUGUCACCUAGAGGAUCAGCUUAGGGAGCCCACGGAUGGUUCGGAGACCCAGUGCCAGCGCGCGGCCCAGUUUGGCGUCACUCGGAGGUCCCAAGGAUCACCCGGGAUCCAGCCGCGGCCAGGGUAGUCCACGUGCAGGACUUAUGAGUCCCAUGAGCUUCUCCACGCCCGGAGACUUCCAUCGCGACUCCAAGGCCCCUAGCCUAACCCUUGACCCCUGGCGGUUCCCCACCUGCACCGCCCGCUUGGGCGGUGCUGGGCGCCGCGGGCUCCCCGGCCGCAGUGCCGCCGCAGCGCCGGCCCCGCCCCCGCCCGCUCCUCCC
RNAcentral lists this long non-coding RNA (6643 nucleotides) under Marmota monax (woodchuck). The stretch from base 6029 to 6101 matches the Rfam family "tRNA". The record is from RNAcentral. Lineage: Eukaryota; Metazoa; Chordata; Mammalia; Rodentia; Sciuridae.